GAUGAACGCUGGCGGCGUGCCUAAUACAUGCAAGUCGAGCGAACAGACGAGGAGCUUGCUCCUCUGACGUUAGCGGCGGACGGGUGAGUAACACGUGGAUAACCUACCUAUAAGACUGGGAUAACUUCGGGAAACCGGAGCUAAUACCGGAUAAUAUAUUGAACCGCAUGGUUCAAUAGUGAAAGACGGUUUUGCUGUCACUUAUAGAUGGAUCCGCGCCGCAUUAGCUAGUUGGUAAGGUAACGGCUUACCACGGCAACGAUGCGUAGCCGACCUGAGAGGGUGAUCGGCCACACUGGAACUGAGACACGGUCCAGACUCCUACGGGAGGCAGCAGUAGGGAAUCUUCCGCAAUGGGCGAAAGCCUGACGGAGCAACGCUGCGUGAGUGAUGAAGGUCUUCGGAUCGUAAAACUCUGUUAUUAGGGAAGAACAAAUGUGUAAGUAACUAUGCACGUCUUGACGGUACCUAAUCAGAAAGCCACGGCUAACUACGUG
This 497-nucleotide ribosomal RNA is filed under the name uncultured bacterium. RNAcentral's name for it is "partial 16S ribosomal RNA". It matches the Rfam family "Bacterial small subunit ribosomal RNA", at positions 28 to 507 of the family's 1533-position model. The record is from RNAcentral.